GACAGGGGGUGCAAACGUUGCUCGGAAUCACUGGGCGUAAAGCGCACGUAGGCGGUCGUGUAAGUCAGGUGUGAAAGCCCUCGGCUCAACCGAGGAACAGCACCUGAUACUGCGCGGCUUGAGGACGGGAGGGGAGAGUGGAACUCUUGGUGGAGCGGUGAAAUGCGUAGAUAUCAGGAGGAACACCGGUGGCGAAAGCGACUCUCUGGUCCGUUCCUGACGCUGAGGUGCGAAAGCUAGGGGAGCAAACGGGAUUAGAUACCCCGGUAGUCCUAGCUGUAAACGAUGGGCACUAGGUAGGGGGAAACCCUAUAGUUUCUCUCUGCCGGAGCUAACGCGUUAAGUGCCCCGCCUGGGGAGUAUGCUCGCAAGGGUAAA
RNAcentral lists this ribosomal RNA (378 nucleotides) under uncultured bacterium. RNAcentral describes it as "bacterial SSU rRNA". It matches the Rfam family "Bacterial small subunit ribosomal RNA", at positions 524 to 898 of the family's 1533-position model. The record is from RNAcentral.